UGGGGAAUAUUGCACAAUGGGGGAAACCCUGAUGCAGCGACGCCGCGUGAGCGAAGAAGGUUUUCGAAUCGUAAAGCUCUGUCCUAUGGGAAGAUAAUGACGGUACCAUAGGAGGAAGCCCCGGCUAACUACGUGCCAGCAGCCGCGGUAAUACGUAGGGGGCUAGCGUUGUCCGGAAUCACUGGGCGUAAAGGGUUCGCAGGCGGAAAUGCAAGUCAGGUGUAAAAGGCAGUAGCUUAACUACUAAGCAUUUGAAACUGCAUAUCUUGAGAAGAGUAGAGGUAAGUGGAAUUUUUAGUGUAGCGGUGAAAUGCGUAGAUAUUAAAAAGAAUACCGGUGGCGAAGGCGACUUACUGGGCUCAUUCUGACGCUGAGGAACGAAAGCGUGGGUAGCAAACAGG
RNAcentral lists this ribosomal RNA (401 nucleotides) under Fusobacteriota bacterium. RNAcentral's name for it is "Fusobacteria bacterium partial 16S ribosomal RNA". It matches the Rfam family "Bacterial small subunit ribosomal RNA", at positions 355 to 776 of the family's 1533-position model. Lineage: Bacteria; Fusobacteriati; Fusobacteriota. The record is from RNAcentral.